RNAcentral lists this transfer RNA (67 nucleotides) under Marmota monax (woodchuck). Its description in RNAcentral is "tRNA.Ser". The record is from RNAcentral. Lineage: Eukaryota; Metazoa; Chordata; Mammalia; Rodentia; Sciuridae.
GGAUGUGGCUCAGUGACAGACUGCUUGCCUGGAAAGCAUGAGGACCUGGGUUCAAUCCCUGGCACCA